GACGAACGCUGGCGGCGUGCUUAACACAUGCAAGUCGAACGGAAAGGCCCUGCUUUUGUGGGGUGCUCGAGUGGCGAACGGGUGAGUAACACGUGAGUAACCUGCCCUUGACUUUGGGAUAACUUCAGGAAACUGGGGCUAAUACCGGAUAGGAGCUCCUGCUGCAUGGUGGGGGUUGGAAAGUUUCGGCGGUUGGGGAUGGACUCGCGGCUUAUCAGCUUGUUGGUGGGGUAGUGGCUUACCAAGGCUUUGACGGGUAGCCGGCCUGAGAGGGUGACCGGACACAUUGGGACUGAGAUACGGCCCAGACUCCAACGGGAGGCAGCAGUGGGGAAUAGUGCACAAUGGGCGGAAGCCUGAUGCAGCAACGCCGCGUGCGGGAUGACGGCCUUCGGGUUGUAAACCGCUUUCGCCUGUGACGAAGCGUGAGUGACGGUAAUGGGUAAAGAAGCACCGGCUAACUACGUG
This 468-nucleotide ribosomal RNA is filed under the name uncultured bacterium. RNAcentral's name for it is "partial 16S ribosomal RNA". It matches the Rfam family "Bacterial small subunit ribosomal RNA", at positions 28 to 507 of the family's 1533-position model. The record is from RNAcentral.